This 426-nucleotide ribosomal RNA is filed under the name uncultured bacterium. RNAcentral describes it as "bacterial SSU rRNA". It matches the Rfam family "Bacterial small subunit ribosomal RNA", at positions 355 to 772 of the family's 1533-position model. The record is from RNAcentral.
UAGGGAAUUGUUCGCAAUGGGCGCAAGCCUGACGACGCAACGCCGCGUGGAGGAUGAAGGGCUUCGGCUCGUAAACUCCUUUCGACCGAGAUGAAUACCCGCAGGGUCAAUACCCUUGCGGACUGACAGUAUCGAGGGAAGAAGCACCGGCCAACUACGUGCCAGCAGCCGCGGUAAUACGUAGGGUGCAAGCGUUGUCCGGAAUUAUUGGGCGUAAAGAGCUCGUAGGCGGUCUGUCGCGUCGAAUGUGAAAACACGAGGCUCAACUUCGUGCCUGCAUUCGAUACGGGCAGACUAGAGUUCGGUAGGGGAGUCUGGAAUUCCUGGUGUAGCGGUGAAAUGCGCAGAUAUCAGGAGGAACACCGGUGGCGAAGGCGGGACUCUGGGCCGAUACUGACGCUGAGGAGCGAAAGCGUGGGGAGCAAA